RNAcentral lists this ribosomal RNA (1182 nucleotides) under Triticum aestivum (bread wheat). Its description in RNAcentral is "partial small subunit ribosomal RNA". Lineage: Eukaryota; Viridiplantae; Streptophyta; Magnoliopsida; Poales; Poaceae. The record is from RNAcentral.
AUGGCUCAAGACGAGGUCCCGGAGUCCUCUUCCCCCUCUUCGGCGGCGGCUGGUCGCCUGAACGCCGCCGCGCCGGAGUUCACCCCCCGAUCCGCCGCCCCGCACCAAGCCCAUCCCCAUCGCCGCGGGCCCCACCAUCACCACCACCACCACCACCAGCCGCAUCACCAGCACCAGCACCAGUACCGCCACCAGCACCACCACCAGGGAGAGGAUGAGGGGGAUGCCGCGGCGGUGGUGGAUAACGCUCAGCUCGUCCUGCCCGAGGAGCUCGCUCGCCGGGUCGUCAAGCAGGUGGAAUUUUACUUCAGUGAUGUCAAUCUAGCCACAACUGACCAUCUGAUGAAGUAUAUUACUAAAGAUCCAGAUGGAUUUGUGCCGAUGACAGUGGUUGCAUCCUUCAGGAAGAUUCGAGAAUUAAUUGAUAGAUCCUUGUUGCCUGGUGCAUUACGUACAUCAACAGAGCUGGUAGUUUCAGAUGACGGGAAGAUGGUUAGGCGACGAGUGCCCUUCUCUGAUGUGGAUGCUGAAGAAGUUCAGUCUCGAAUUAUUGUUGCUGAAAAAUUACCUGAGGAUCAUCGCUAUCAGAAUCUUAUGAGGAUUUUCUCAACUGUUGGGAGUGUGAAAUCAAUACGUACUUGCUAUCCACAAGGGAUUGACAUUUCUGCCGGCAAAUCAUCAAGGAUUGAGAUGCUUUUUGCUAAUAAGCUGCAUGCUUUUGUGGAGUAUGGAACUGUUGAAGAUGCUGAAAAGGCGGUUGCCGAGUUUAGUGGCGGCAGAAACUGGAGGGAUGGGCCUAGAGUUCGUUCGCUGCUUGGUUGCCUGAAACAUGGGAUUGGUCAAGGAAGAAAAGGUGGAGAUGAGGAGGCUGCGGAUGAAGAUGACCCUGAAGAGUAUGAAGCAGAGGAUGCUGCCCAGGGUGAGGAUGGUUUCUAUGACAAAGCUGGAAUGAGGCAAGGGAGAGGCCGAGGACGUGGGGGAAGAGGCCGUGGCCGGGGCCAGUACCAUGGCCAGAGUCGGGAUGGCGGACAUCCAAUCGGCACUCCUCCAUCAAAUCACAGUGCUGAGCAUCCGGUGGUGUCAAAGCCGCCUCCUGGUCCGCGUAUGCCGGAUGGCACAAAAGGAUUUGCCAUGGGGCGAGGGAAGCCCCAGGUCAGCCCCGCAGUGCUGUCUGAUGUUUAG